Molecule: ribosomal RNA, 253 nt
Filed under: uncultured bacterium
Lineage: Bacteria
Description: partial 16S ribosomal RNA
Rfam family: Bacterial small subunit ribosomal RNA
Source: RNAcentral
UACAGAGGGGGCAAGCGUUAUUCGGAAUUAUUGGGCGUAAAGGGCGCGUAGGCGGCUUUGCAAGUGACGGGUGAAAUCCCUCGGCUUAACCGAGGAACUGCCUGUCAAACUGCAUGGCUUGAGACCGGGAGAGGUGAGUGGAAUUCCCAGUGUAGCGGUGAAAUGCGUAGAUAUCGUAAGGAAGACCAGUGGCGAAGGCGGGUCUCUGGACAGUUCCUGACGCUGAGGCACGAAGGUCAGGGGAGCAAACGGG